CCUACGGGUGGCUGCAGUGGGGAAUAUUGGACAAUGGGCGAAAGCCUGAUCCAGCCAUGCCGCGUGUGUGAAGAAGGCCUUCGGGUUGUAAAGCACUUUCAGUGGGGAAGAAAGCCUUGGGGCUAAUACCCUCGAGGAAGGACAUCACCCACAGAAGAAGCACCGGCUAACUCCGUGCCAGCAGCCGCGGUAAUACGGAGGGUGCGAGCGUUAAUCGGAAUUACUGGGCGUAAAGCGCGCGUAGGCGGUCUGAUAAGCCGGUUGUGAAAGCCCCGGGCUCAACCUGGGAACGGCAUCCGGAACUGUCAGGCUAGAGUGCAGGAGAGGAAGGUAGAAUUCCCGGUGUAGCGGUGAAAUGCGUAGAGAUCGGGAGGAAUACCAGUGGCGAAGGCGGCCUUCUGGACUGACACUGACGCUGAGGUGCGAAAGCGUGGGUAACAAACAGGAUUAGAUACCCAGUGUC
Molecule: ribosomal RNA, 463 nt
Filed under: Vreelandella stevensii
Lineage: Bacteria; Pseudomonadati; Pseudomonadota; Gammaproteobacteria; Oceanospirillales; Halomonadaceae
Description: partial 16S ribosomal RNA
Rfam family: Bacterial small subunit ribosomal RNA
Source: RNAcentral